UCAGAAAAAUAAACAAAAUUCAACUAAAAGGAUCAGACUAACAUUAGUCUAUGUUUUUUGAAGUUGAAUGGCAUAUUUAUUGAAAAUGACUCAUUUGCUGGCAAAGCACAAUACUGCUAAAGAGACAGGAACAACUUUACUGAAUCCUCAGGUCGCUUUAGAAAUCUUUACAAUAUUGUCAAAAUUAAGCUUAGAGAAAAGAUAAACAUGUCUUUUCAAAAACCUGAGUGUUUGUGGAAGAGUAUUCUGAUGACUAGAAAAGGUAGACUGUGUGUGUCUCCUGUUGCUGAUACAAUUCUUAUCUGAAAAAAGAAAACCUUUUUCUUACUGAAAAGGGCUGGCCAUGCAAGAUGGCCUCAUCUUAUAUUUUUACUGUCAUCUCAUACAGGUUCUCCAGGGAAGUAUCAGUUUCAUUAGUAGCAUAAUUGAACAAAUGAUUGAACAAUUCCUUAGGGAUUAAACUCUUCUUUUUGCCUAGAAAACUAUGGUGGGAGAGAACAUAACAUAAAAUACAAUUCUCUUUCAUUGUCUUUUCCUUUGCCUGAGAAGAAUGAAUAAGAAAAAUUCCCCAAAUGUGACUUUCAGACAUUUUGUGAUGUAUGUGUGUCCUUCAAAGAUAGGUACUAAACCAGACAUAUAUGUGCAUUCUCUGGUUUAUUGACAGAAACCAAAUAUGUUUUCUCAUUUCUGCCAUUUUUUUUAUCAUAUAUUCAUGUUUCUGCUCUGGACAUCACUGCUGAGAUUUGGACAUGUUUUCUGCCUUCCAGUUACUCCUCCAGCUGCCACAAAAAGUACCUUUAUUUAAUCUGAAGACAGUAUCAUUGUAAUUUCAGAAGACAUACAAUCUGCAUAACCAGUUUUGUAGUAGCUCACUGAUAGAUUUCUGAGAGUUGAAGCAUAACAUGAUCCUCAAAUGUAGUUAAAGUGUGGCAACAGCUGCCAUUGUGACCACGACUACAGCAGCACCAGAACCACAUAAAUCAAGGUUUCAUUCAUCUUUGAGCCAGCACACAGUAGAAAGAGCCAGUGAAGAAGUGAAAGCUGCUGAGAUGAAAUGGAAAACUUCCUCCAGUGAAAAAUAUUCUCCCUGGCUCUUUCCUGGCCCAUGGACCAUCAGAUAAGCUUUGAUAUGAUAAACCAAAACAAGGACAUGACACAGUCCAUGAUGGUGUCAUCAUGAAAGGAUAACCACGAACUUCUCUGCAGUGCUGGACUAAUUUAGCUUUAAGGCAAUAUGGGGAUGAUUCUCAUUAGUAGUCAAAAAGGCAAAGAGAAAUGUAAUCUCUUCAGUAUACAACUGUUUUGUCUUGUCUUUUUAUUUCCCCUCUGAUUCCCACCUUACCAAUAUUUUUUAACUGUAGGCUGUAUGACUUUUCCUGACAUAGUCAAGUCUCCCUUGGUGCAAGCUCUGUAAAGAUAAAACAUGAAUCUCUGAACUGAAACUCUGAAAUUGUCUGACUGCAUUUAAAACAAUUUUCAUGCUCUGUUGUUAUGUCAAUUUUUAUUCCUCAGUUUCUGUGAUUUCCAUGGUUAAGCCAUAGUUAGGGAGGCUGAACUCUGCUUAUUCGAUGUAAAAAUAAUGGUUCUAAUAAUAACACAAGAAAAGAUCAAUGAGAACGUUGUAUAUUUUUUAACGUUGACCAAGACUGGUUGGUUUAGAAAAGGAAGUGUGUGUAGACAGAGGAAGCCUGGCUGUCUCUCCUUACCAAGGCAGCUCCCUUCCUCUUGCCUUACAGCCUUCCUGUCGGCACCCAGGGGUGAUUUACGGAGCCAGUGGGGGAAGAUUAUUGCCCUCCAAUGCUUUGCAUGCUCCUGAGUUCCUAAUUUUACUGACUGGAGAAGCACCAGAUAUAGCAUCAGAUUCUUCUGCAGGAAAAAAAAUACUCACUUGGAUACUGAAACUAGAAUUUUUUGAACCAUCUGUGCAAGUAUGCAAAGGGCUCCUUGGUGCAGUGCAGGCUGAGGGAGACAAGCCCUCUUCUCAUCCUGCCCAGAGGUACCUCCUACCAUCUUAGUGAAAGCAGGGGAAAGCAUGAAAGCAGCAAAUGCCCCUCUUUGCUUCUCUGCACAGCACUAGCUGGUCCAGUGCCCUUGGCUCUGUCACAAGCAGACUUUCCUUCUCCAUUGAACAAACAGGAUGCAGCCAGUCCCAUGCAAGCAGUCCCAAAGGCAUCAGAGCAGACAGCUCCCAGCUGAGAACCCCAGCAGCAGCUCCUGUUGCCCAUUCUCUGCCUGUGCUCUCCAGAAAUGCUACCAAACUGAGGAGCAGACUGAGAAAGCAGAUUACUGCAGAGGGCAGAGGCUAAGAUGGUAUUUUCCUGCUGAGCCAAUUCUUGCCUUUCAUAACACUGAUGAGCUUAUAGGUUUAACACUGAUGAACUAAUAGGCUGAGUGUGAUG
Passer domesticus (house sparrow) is the source of this 2399-nucleotide long non-coding RNA. RefSeq lists it as uncharacterized. The record is from RefSeq and is a predicted model, not a curated record. NCBI's taxonomy places the organism in Eukaryota, Metazoa, Chordata, Aves, Passeriformes, Passeridae. The transcript has 3 exons.